CCUACGGGAGGCAGCAGUGGGGAAUAUUGCACAAUGGGGGAAACCCUGAUGCAGCGACGCCGCGUGAGUGAAGAAGUAAUUCGUUAUGUAAAGCUCUAUCAGCAGGGAAGAACAUGCCGGUACCUGAGUAAGAAGCCCCGGCUAACUACGUGCCAGCAGCCGGGGUAAGACGUAGGGGGCAAGCGUUCUCCGGAUUUACUGGGUGUAAAGGGAGCGUAGACGGCAGUGCAAGUCUUGCGUGAAAGGCGGGGGCUCAACCCCCGGACUGCUCUGGAAACUGGACGGCUGGAGUGCAGGAGAGGUAAGUGGAAGUCCGGGUGUAGCGGUGAAAUGCGUAGAUAUUAGGAGGAACACCAGUGGCGAAGGCGGCUUACUGGACUGUAACUGACGUUGAGGCGCGAAAGCGUGGGGAGCAAACAGGAUUAGAUACCCUAGUAGUC
Molecule: ribosomal RNA, 440 nt
Filed under: uncultured bacterium
Lineage: Bacteria
Description: partial 16S ribosomal RNA
Rfam family: Bacterial small subunit ribosomal RNA
Source: RNAcentral